Oncorhynchus tshawytscha (Chinook salmon) is the source of this 1994-nucleotide long non-coding RNA. The record is from Ensembl. NCBI's taxonomy places the organism in Eukaryota, Metazoa, Chordata, Actinopteri, Salmoniformes, Salmonidae.
GAGGAGAGGAGAGAGAGAGAGGAGAGAGGAGAGGAGAGGAGAGGAGAGGAGGAGAAUCCCAGGUAGAGGGCAGGACACUGGAGGCUGAGGAGGAGAGGAGAGGAGGAGGGAGGAGAGCUCUGGGGCCAUCCCAGGUAGAGGGCAGGAUACUGGAGGCUGAGGAGGAGAUGAGAGGGGGAGAAGCGGAGAGGAGAGGAGGAGAGGAGAAGAGGAGAGGAGGAGAGCUCUGGUGCUAUCCCAGGUAGAGGGCAGGAUACUGGAGGCUGAGGAGGAGAGGAGAGGGGGAGAAGCGGAGAGGAGAGGAGGAGAGGAGAAGAGGAGAAGAUGAGAGGAGGAGAGCUCUGGUGCUAUCCCAGGUAGAGGGAAGGACACUGGAGGCUGAGGAGGAGAGGAGAGGAGGGAGGAGGAGAGCUCUGCUGCUAUCCCAGGUAGAGGGCAGGAUACUGGAGGCUGAGGAGGAAAGGAGAGGAGAGGAGAGGAGAGGAGAGGAGAGGAGAGGAGAGGAGAGGAGAGGAGAGGAGAGGAGAAUCCCAGGUAGAGGGCAGGAUACUGGAGGCUGAGGAGGAGAGGAGAGGAGAGGAGGAGAGCUCUGCUGCCAUCCCAGGUAGAGGGCAGGAUACUGGAUGCUUGCAUGAAGCAGGAAUAUGGUGCAAUGCUGUGUCCCAAAACUAGCUGGACCCCUGCCUGCUUCUCUAUCUGUGGUGUCAUUUACUGUAUGAAGCUUUGGUCUGCAUGUCACGGAGACACUCAUCCUAUAAUAGAGGUCAUGGAGACACUCAUCCCAUCAUAGAGGUCAUGGAGACACUCAUCCCAUAAUAGAGGUCAUGGAGACACUCAUCCCAUAAUAGAGGUCACGGAGACACUCAUCCCAUAAGAGGUCACGGAGACACUCAUCCCAUAAUAGAGGUCACGGAGACACUCAUCCCAUAAUACAGGUUGCCUUUGACAACAGUCUCUCUUGCCAUACAUUCAUUUACAGAGAACAAUAUUUCCCCUUUGUGUGAUUAUUACUAAAUGUAAUGACGUGAAAUGUCCCCCAGCCUGUCUGUCCCAGCGAGGUAUAGAGGGAGAUCUGCUGCUGUUUACACUGCCUUCACAAUCCACGGGUCAAAUCCCUCCCCAAGCGCUACUUUCCCCCCACCCUAUUGUUCCUAUAGAUAGUCCUUCAGGAGAACAGCCCGGUGGGUUGGGGGAUAUUGUUAGGUUGAAGAUACCCAGGUUAGGACAACAGGGAAAUAACAUCCCACAACUCAGACUGUUAGAGGGUUAGAGGCUAGGAGGCAACAAGUUAUACAGGAAGGAGUUGUCUUGUUUGAGGGCGGGUUAGAGGCCAGAGGAGGCUUCCAGAGGAGGCUACACAGGAAGGUGAUGUCUUGUUUAAAGCAUUGUUAAAGUCUCAGACAGGAGAUAUCUGUUAGGAAACAGUGUUUUCAACCUGAAUGGGUAACAGAGGAGAGGCAGAGAGCAGUGUGCUGAGGGUGGAGAGGGGUAGAGAGGGGUAGAGAGGGGUAGAGAGGGGAGGCAGGGGGUAGAGAGGGGAGGCAGGGGGUAGAGAGGGGUAGAGAGGGGAGGCAGGGGGUAGAGAAGGAGGUAGAGAGGGGUAGAGAAGGGGGUCGGGAGGGGAGGCAGGGGGUAGAGAGAGGUAGAGAAGGGGGUAGAGAGGGGAGGCAGGGGGUAGAGAGAGGUAGAGAAGGUGGUAGAGAGGGGAGGCAGGGAGUAGAGAGAGGUAGAGAAGGGGGUAGAGAGGGGUAGAGAAGGGGAGGCAGGGGAUAGAGAGGGGUAGAGAGGGGUAGAGAGGGGAGGCAGGGGGUAGAGAGAGGUAGAGAAGGGUAGAGAGGGGAGGCAAGGGGUAGAGAGGGGUAGAGAAGGGGGUAGAGAGGGGAGGCAGGGGGUAGAGAGGGGUAGAGAAGGGUAGAGAAGGGGAGACAGGGGAUAGAGAGGGGUAGAGAAGGGUAGAGAGGGGAGGCAGGGGGUAGAGAGGGGGUAGAGAAGGG